CAGUCGCCGCGGUAAUACGAAGGGGGCUAGCGUUGUUCGGAUUUACUGGGCGUAAAGCGCACGUAGGCGGACUUUUAAGUCAGGGGUGAAAUCCCGGGGCUAAACCCCGGAACUGCCUUUGAUACUGGAAGUCUUGAGUAUGGUAGAGGUGAGUGGAAUUCCGAGUGUAGAGGUGAAAUUCGUAGAUAUUCGGAGGAACACCAGUGGCGAAGGCGGCUCACUGGACCAUUACUGACGCUGAGGUGCGAAAGCGUGGGGAGCAAACAGGAUUAGAGACCCGAGUAGUCCCUGUCUCUUAUAC
Molecule: ribosomal RNA, 301 nt
Filed under: uncultured bacterium
Lineage: Bacteria
Description: partial 16S ribosomal RNA
Rfam family: Bacterial small subunit ribosomal RNA
Source: RNAcentral